Polyodon spathula (Mississippi paddlefish) is the source of this 496-nucleotide non-coding RNA. The record is from the annotation of a RefSeq genome assembly. NCBI's taxonomy places the organism in Eukaryota, Metazoa, Chordata, Actinopteri, Acipenseriformes, Polyodontidae.
CAGCACAGGCACGUGAAGAUGGCUGGAGUUUUUAUCAUGUUCACGGCAUUGCUGCUGUGUCUCCCAGAUUUCUCAGAUGGUAUCAACAUUGUUCAGUCCCCUCCUUCUCUGUUUGUGAGUCCUGGACACUCUGCUGAACUCCAGUGCUAUCACGGUGAUAGCAGCUAUACCCGCAUGUACUGGUACCAGCAAAUGAGGAAAGGAGCUUUGGAACUGAUUGGGUAUCUGCACAAUACAGCUAUAUACCCUGAAGAGAAUUUCAAGGACAGAUUUAAUUUAACUGGACAUGCAAAAGAGACAGGCACUCUAACAAUCUCUAGAGUAACAGCUGAAGACAGUGCUGUGUACUUCUGUGCAGCCAGCAUACACAGUGCUGCAGAUCACCUCUCUCCUCUACAAUAACCCUGCCUAGCCACAGCCUCCCCUGCGCUUACAUGAGAACACGUCAUCUCACCACCUGCUUCAACUCACUGUCUAACUCUAGUGUGGGGAUUUC